GUUUAUAAAGUUUAUAUAUAACAUUUCAUUUUCAAUGAAAAAAAAAGAAAUUAUUCUUUAUAAAUA
RNAcentral lists this transfer RNA (66 nucleotides) under Cosmoscarta bispecularis. Its description in RNAcentral is "tRNA-Glu". Lineage: Eukaryota; Metazoa; Arthropoda; Insecta; Hemiptera; Cercopidae. The record is from RNAcentral.